AUUGAACGCUGGCGGCAUGCCUUACACAUGCAAGUCGAACGGCAGCGGACCUUCGGGUGCCGGCGAGUGGCGAACGGGUGAGUAAUGCAUCGGAACGUGCCAUUGAGUGGGGGAUAACGUAGCGAAAGUUGCGCUAAUACCGCAUAUUCUGUGCGCAGGAAAGCAGGGGACCGCAAGGCCUUGCGCUCUUUGAGCGGCCGAUGUCAGAUUAGCUAGUUGGUGAGGUAACGGCUUACCAAGGCGACGAUCUGUAGCGGGUCUGAGAGGAUGAUCCGCCACACUGGAACUGAGACACGGUCCAGACUCCUACGGGAGGCAGCAGUGGGGAAUUUUGGACAAUGGGCGCAAGCCUGAUCCAGCCAUGCCGCGUGAGUGAAGAAGGCCUUCGGGUUGUAAAGCUCUUUCAGACGGAAAGAAAUACGCGCGCUCUAACAUAAGCGCGUGGAUGACGGUACCGUAAGAAGAAGCACGGCUAACG
Molecule: ribosomal RNA, 478 nt
Filed under: uncultured bacterium
Lineage: Bacteria
Description: bacterial SSU rRNA
Rfam family: Bacterial small subunit ribosomal RNA
Source: RNAcentral